CAGAGGGAGACGUUACUAGGGAAGAUUGGUUAGAGGGAUGCAGCGAUGCUGGCUUUGGAGAUGGAGAAAGGGCCGUCUCCGGAAGCUGGAAAGGCAAGGAAAUGAAUCCUUCCGCGGACCCUUCAGCAGGGGAGCAGGCCUGUUGACACCCUGAUUUUAGCCCUGGAAGACCUGUGUCAGACUUCUGACCUACAGAACUAUCUUAUCCCCUGCUGGACAGCAAAGGGAGUGAACCUCCUCUACCUUACGAACGCAGAGCAUGCCCGUCAAGAGCCACCACCAGCGCUGAAUGGAGAUGGUGGAAAAAGUGGCAAUCAGCGGUGGAUAUUAUGUGGCAAUUGACCUUUACAGAAAUGAAUGAGCAUUAGACUAGAGCACCGAUUGCAUGUGGCCUUGACCUCAUGGUGUCAGGAGUGCUACCCUCUCAGCUUUGAGUCCAUGUCUCAGCGGGGAGGGAGGUGAGUCAACCACAGAGGAGAACACCGCCCUACCUGCCUCUUCUAUAACGUGUUCCCACUUCUCAGUGACUUCUGCCUGACUCUCACUGGCCAGAACUGGGUCAUAUUGUCAGUCCACAUACAGGAAAGACUGGGGAGGUGAGUAUUAUAGCUUUCUGGAUUCUCAUGGUCAAGCAAAAGAAGGAAGGUGGGGUUGUGAAUGGCUGUGGGUAGCCAAGCCAAAGUGUCUGCAUCAGCAUGCUCCAGAAGCACUGUGGAGGGAACUCUGGAUUCUGGAGCUGAAAAAAUCUGUAUUACCUGAGAUGGAGCUAAGCUUACCUUAUACCAAUGGCUGCUCUGAAGGUGAAUCCUGCCUGCAUCAGGGAUGCCCCCAAAAGUUAAUUUUUGAUCAU
RNAcentral lists this long non-coding RNA (850 nucleotides) under Equus caballus (horse). RNAcentral's name for it is "lncRNA (ENSECAG00000057058.1)". The record is from RNAcentral. Lineage: Eukaryota; Metazoa; Chordata; Mammalia; Perissodactyla; Equidae.